This is a non-coding RNA of Boothiomyces macroporosus, 71 nucleotides long. NCBI's taxonomy places the organism in Eukaryota, Fungi, Chytridiomycota, Chytridiomycetes, Rhizophydiales, Terramycetaceae. The record is from the annotation of a GenBank genome assembly.
CAGAGUGUAGCUCAAAUGUAGAGCAUUAGCUUUGGGAGCUAAAGGUUGCGUGGUCGAACACGUCACUCUGA